AAGAAGUUUAGCUAAAGAGGAGAAGACCUGGAGCUCUGACUGAAGGUUCAACCUGGUAGGCUGAAGAUCUGAGGCCUCAACCUGUUUAUCUUCUACCAAGAAGCUGUUGUUACUCAGGGGACUGAAAGGUGGAAAGCUCUUCAUACUAAAACAGUAUUAGGAAAGGACCUGUUGGGAUUUUAGAACAACAACCAGUCCCAUGGAAGGAAAACUGGUUUUAUAUGAGGCAAACAAGGCAGCUGAUCAGUUGAUGGUUCAACAAGUUAAACAGUCAGUCGGUGACUGCUGGGAGCUUCUUCUGACAGAGGUCAGAGAAUCAUCACAGCAGAACCAGGAGACAACGUCAUUCUGACAUGUAGAGCAGCUGAGAACAAAGAUGUUAGAGUUGUAAAGUGGAGCAGAACUGAUCUGGAGUCAGAUCAUUAUGUUCUUCUGUACAGGGACAGUCAGUUUGAUCCAGAGGGUCAGUCUCCAUCCUUUAGGAACCGGGUGUCUCUGCUGGACGUGAAGAAUGGAGACGUGUCUUUGGUUCUGAAGAAAGUGACGACUGAUGAUACAGGAACAUAUGAGUGUCGAGUCGUUCAGGGAGGAAAUAAUGAAUUUAUGUUCAUCUGCACCAUUAACCUGAUAGUUGAAGCAGG
Fundulus heteroclitus (mummichog) is the source of this 641-nucleotide long non-coding RNA. RefSeq lists it as uncharacterized. The transcript has 2 exons. NCBI's taxonomy places the organism in Eukaryota, Metazoa, Chordata, Actinopteri, Cyprinodontiformes, Fundulidae. The record is from RefSeq and is a predicted model, not a curated record.